CUCCUCUGAAACUCUGGCAUAUAUCACAGACAAAAUUGGGUCAGAAGAGAGCACAGAGGUACUGAACUGAAAAGAGAUAAAUUCAUCUUUAGAAGAAAAAAGGAAGUCUCGAACUGCAAACUUGGGUUUAAUUUGUCUCCUCCACGUAAGGCACUGAUACACAUCUCUGGAGAGUACUUUCAGGCAGCCUGAAUAGCUGUUUCAUGCAAAAUUUCCUCAUGUGCUGUCUCUAAGAAUCUUCUGACAAAUAGGUGAGACAUAAGAUUGGAGAGAUGGGUUUUUUCCUUCAGUCUCAGCACUUCCUGUUACUCAGCUACUUCGUCAACAACUUUGUAAAGUUUGAUGGCAAACAUAUCGAGUUUCUUCAAAAAAUGUGAUGAUUGGGAAUAAGGAAAAACAGUGGGAAGGGGUGAUGAGCCUGAAGAGCUAAUGCUGCUAUUGAGGUAAAUG
Zonotrichia albicollis (white-throated sparrow) is the source of this 450-nucleotide non-coding RNA. Lineage: Eukaryota; Metazoa; Chordata; Aves; Passeriformes; Passerellidae. The record is from RefSeq and is a predicted model, not a curated record.